AUUAGUUAUUUAUUAUUUAUUUAUUUAUUUUAUUUUUGUUUUAUUUAUUUAUUUAUUUUUAUUUUUUUAUGUUGUUUGUGCUAUUUUGAACUUUUCUUAGCACGUGAUUUUUUUUUUUUUACUUUAUGUGUUUGAUUAUUAUGGUUUGUCUAAAUUGGUAUUUGACAUGCUAGUUUGCUCGUCGUAUUGUUAAACGCGUACUAAUCCUUAUCUUCUUUUCUCUUUGCAUGAAUUCUUCCGGAUGAGCCCAAAUGGACUCUCCAUAUCCCUGUAUUUGAAUGUCGUCGAGUCGAGCCUCAUUAAAGUUCAAGAUUGAACUGAUAUACACAAGAUAGCAUACAUAUGCAGGCUGGUAUAUAUUGAAAGUCUUGUUAUUUUUUUAAUUCACUGUUGCCUUUAUUUAUUUAUUUAUAUCUUUGUUCAUUUAGUUGCUUAUUUAUUCAUUCAUUUGGGUCUCGAAGCCAAAGUGUAAAUUUAAUAUAGGUGAAGCAGAUUUUGGGUCAACGGACUUGAAAAAUAGUUUAGGAUAUGUUAUGGGCCGAAAGUCCAACUAGAUUAGGACAGGGUUUAUCGAUUUGGGCUCAAUGGCCCAAGUCUCUUUAUUUCUCCCUUUUCCCCUUUUUAUACUUAUUUGUUUUAUGUUUUUUUCCUAACUAAGUCGCUAAAAAGCUGAUAUUGCAAAACUUUCAAAAUAUUCCUUAAUCAAUUUCUUUUUCAACGAAUCGACGUUUUUCCUAAAAGUUAGUCAAAAGAUGUUUUCAAAAUAUUCCUUAGUCAAUUUUACCCUUGAUAGGAAUACUAAAUGCAUUCAAUGUUUUUAAAAUUAUUGAAUGGUGUAUAGAUGAUUUAAAUUCUCAAAAUUAAAAUUAAAUGAUUAUUGCUAGUUUCAAUUAUAAAAACUCAAUUUUCUUGAUAUAAUGUAUGGAUGAAGUAAUUUGUAUUGAAUUUCAAUUUUUAAUCAUUGCACUGAUUGUUAUUAUUGCACUUUAAAAGACAUAAAGGGAUAAAUAUGUAAAUGCAUAUCUAUUUAUUAAUUUCUUAAUAGAUGUGUCAAGUUCAUAGUGGUCAACUAAAACGAAACGGAGUAAGUAUAUUCAAAGGGUAAUAUGGUAAAAUUACCCCUAUGAUUUACUGCCUCUUAAUUCGUGUGCUAACAGAAAAAUGGACAAGUAAAGAGGACAGAUGGAGUAACAUGCACAAAUAAAGAUAGACGGAGGGAAUAAUAGAUAUUGAAAAAUAAUCUAGAGAAUAAGAAAUUAAUGUUAAUGAUAAAACAUAAACAUUUUAAUCUUUUCUUAAUUUAUCAAAAAUGAUAAGUAAAAAUAAAAAUUAAAUUAGAAAAAGAGCGACAAAUGAAUCCUAACGAAAGGAGUACAAUGAACAAAUUGAUAUAGAGAAAAGAGUAAUCCCUUUAUUUCAUAUUAGUUGAUCAUCUUAUUAAAAAUUAUUAUUUCAUAUUAGAUAUCCGAUUUACUAAUUUUAAAAAAUAUUAAUUAAUUUUUUUCUCAUAUCAUCCUUGUGAUUAAUUCUUUUUAAACAUAUUCAUAUUUGUUGUAAAGUUUUCAAAAAGUGUUUUAAAAAGUAAAUUAAUAAAAUUAUCUGAUUUUUCAACAUGCGUGUGAAGAGAAAAGCGUAUUAACUAAUAUUUGGACGGGAGAGCAGUAUCUUUCGACUAACAACCUUUUGGAUUGUCUAUAGUUAGGGUGGAUUUAAAACAGCGAAAAAAAGGUUAAUGGAGAUAUAAAUUCAGCUAACCAAGUUGUUGAAAAUUCAUAUCUUCAUCCAAUUAAAAAAAAAUAAAGAAAGAAAGAAAAAGAGAGGAAAGUUUUUGAAUUUUCCACUACAAUUAUGAAUUAACAAUACUCUGCGUAUCUUCAAAUUAAAGAGCGUAAGAUUUGCUGGAAAAAAAAAAACACAAAUUAAAAUCAUGCUUAGUAAGUAAUUAAGGCAUGGGAUGAUCCUGAUUUGCAGUAUAAAUAUAAUAGUAGUCCUAACGAAUAUAUUUAAUAAUGAUGAACAAAACUGCUGCCACCCCAAUCACUACUGCUUACAAAUCAACCAAAUCAAACCACAAAUAAUUCUUUUUUUAAGCUUAACUUGAUUCUUCGGUUCACUUGACUUUUGAUGAUUUAACUUGUGUACCCCACCUCAGCACCCACCACCGCCUCCAAAACCGCUGCUUGCAUGAUGACCACCACCUCCAACCCCAACGUGAUGGUG
RNAcentral lists this long non-coding RNA (2220 nucleotides) under Capsicum annuum. RNAcentral describes it as "long non-coding RNA (CANN_LNC000534)". Lineage: Eukaryota; Viridiplantae; Streptophyta; Magnoliopsida; Solanales; Solanaceae. The record is from RNAcentral.